UGUUUUUUUUUUUUUUUCUAACAUAUGAUAUGUAACUUGCUACAAUAGCAAAGUUUAAUUGUUCAAGUGCUUUUUUCAUUGAAAAUACUCUUGCUUCCCAAUUUUAAAAGAAAUUAACAUUUUGUUAAUCUAAACUGCAUCAGUUGCAUGCCCCACUUGGUUUGAAAUUUUGGAUAAGCAUGAAUUCACAUAAUUUUAGUUUUUGAAGUUGUUUGAGUGAAUGGUCUCAGUGACUGCCACCGUGUUGUUCUUACAAUUGUGAUAUUAGAUAAAGUGAAAACUGGGAGAAGUGAUCCCCAGUUUUUAUAUGUAAGCACACUGAAGAUGGAAAAGUGUUAUAAACUUCUGGCUAGGUGAUCAAAAGUGCUGCACGAACUCCUAGCUUUGGGAUUGUGUUUGAAUCUUUUAGCUAGUUUCAAAUUCACAUUUAACAUACUUGUAUAGUGGUUAAUAUGCUAAUUGUUUGACAUCCUUAUAGUUGCAUCUCUUCUCUUUAUAAUUUUGUGUCAGAUAUUUACAUAGGAUCUUACAUCUUCAGGUACUUGAAAUCAAACUGCAAAUAAUA
This 565-nucleotide unclassified non-coding RNA is filed under the name Hevea brasiliensis (rubber tree). The record is from RNAcentral. Lineage: Eukaryota; Viridiplantae; Streptophyta; Magnoliopsida; Malpighiales; Euphorbiaceae.